This 262-nucleotide ribosomal RNA is filed under the name uncultured bacterium. Its description in RNAcentral is "partial small subunit ribosomal RNA". It matches the Rfam family "Bacterial small subunit ribosomal RNA", at positions 26 to 285 of the family's 1533-position model. The record is from RNAcentral.
AGGACGAACGCUGGCGGCGUGCUUAACACAUGCAAGUCGAGCGGAAAGGUCCCGUUCGGGGUACUCGAGCGGCGAACGGGUGAGUAACGACGUGAGCAAUCUGCCCCUAGCUCUGGGAGUAGCUCCGGGAAACCGGAAUUAAUACCUGAUACGACCACGGCUGACAUCGGCCAUGGUGGAAAGCUUUGCGGCUAGGGAGUGAGCUCGCGGCCUAUCGAGGCUUGGUUGGUGGGGUAACGGCCUACCAAGGCGACGACGGGUA